Molecule: ribosomal RNA, 301 nt
Filed under: uncultured bacterium
Lineage: Bacteria
Description: bacterial SSU rRNA
Rfam family: Bacterial small subunit ribosomal RNA
Source: RNAcentral
AUUGAACGCUGGCGGCAGGCCUAACACAUGCAAGUCGAGCGAGAAAGCACCUCGGUGCGAGUACAGCGGCGGACGGGUGAGUAACGCGUAGGAAUCUACCCAGUAGUGGGGGACAACAUGGUGAAAACCAUGCUAAUACCGCAUACGCCCCAAGGGGGAAAGCGGGGGAUCUUCGGACCUCGCGCUAUUGGAUGAGCCUGCGUAGGAUUAGCUUGUUGGUGAGGUAAAAGCUCACCAAGGCGACGAUCCUUAGCUGGUCUGAGAGGAUGAUCAGCCACACUGGGACUGAGACACGGCCCAG